AGAUUGAACGCUGGCGGCAGGCCUAACACAUGCAAGUCGAGCGGUAGAGAGGUGCUUGCAUCUCUUGAGAGCGGCGGACGGGUGAGUAAUGCCUAGGAAUCUGCCUAGUGGGUGGGGGAUAACGUUCGGAAACGGACGCUAAUACCGCAUACCGUCCUACGGGAGAAAG
RNAcentral lists this ribosomal RNA (169 nucleotides) under uncultured soil bacterium. RNAcentral describes it as "partial 16S ribosomal RNA". It matches the Rfam family "Bacterial small subunit ribosomal RNA", at positions 26 to 206 of the family's 1533-position model. The record is from RNAcentral.